Molecule: small nucleolar RNA, 74 nt
Organism: Suncus etruscus (white-toothed pygmy shrew)
Lineage: Eukaryota; Metazoa; Chordata; Mammalia; Eulipotyphla; Soricidae
Product: small nucleolar RNA SNORD113/SNORD114 family
Exons: 1
Source: RefSeq, a predicted model, not a curated record
UGGACCAAUGAUGAGAUUGGAGGGUGUCUGAAUCAAGAAAAUUGAUUAAUGCCAUCUACAAUUCUGAGGUCCUU